AUGGGCGGGCCACCGCUGCCGCCGUUCCAGGCGGGGCACCCCUCGCGGCGCCAUCCGGCUCCCGCCCCAGUGCCGCAGUGGCCGCACUGGCCCGCGCCAGCCCCAGCCGCGCCGCCCGCGCCGGUCCAGCUCCCACCGCCGCCGCCCAGCUCCGGACUGGGCCAGUCCACACCGGGAGACCUCCCGAUCCAGCAGGUCCGGUUUCCGCCGUCACCGUCCCAGAUCCCGGCCUGGCUAACCGGGACGUCGCCACCGCCAGUUUACACGGAGGCCGGGAACCCACCGGUACCCACGCUGCAGUCUGGGGCCUCGCCCGGCUCCGCGGGGGCCUAUGACGGUCUCCCCACCGUUGACCGGGCGCCGUCAUCAUCACUGCUCCGCACCGCCGAGCCGGUCGGCCAUGGCGCGCCGACCCAGACGCCGCCACGGUUCGCCAAGAUCGACUUCGCCACUUAUGACGGCACGGAGGACCAGCUUAACUGGCUCAACCAGUGUGAGCAGUUUUUCCGUGGACAGCGCACGCUCGCGUCGGAGCGCACUUGGCUGGCAUCCUACCACCUCUGCGGUGCAGCCCAGACCUGGUACUACGCCCUCGAGCAGGACAAGGGCAGCAUGCCCCCUUGGGAGCGCUUCCGCGAGCUCUGCCUACUUCGUUUUGGGCCCCCGAUCCGCGGGAGCCGCCUGGCGGAGCUAGGCUGCCUUCCCUUCACCUCCACGGUUCAGGACUUCGCCGACCGUUUCCAGGCCCUGGCAUGCCACGCGUCGGGCGUGACGGCGCAGCAGCCGGCCAACCUCUUUGUCGGUGGACUUCCGGAUCACAUCCGCGUGGACGUGGAGCUUCAGGGACCCCAGGAUAUCCAGACGGCCAUGUACUACGCCCGCGCGUUUGAGCGCCGCGCGGUGGCCGUCCAGCAGGAGUCACCGUCCCGGGCUACUGGGUCGCUACCCUGGCCAGAUCCUGCUCCGUGUCGGCCUGUUCAGGCUUCCCCGGCACCCCUCGCCGCGACCGCGGCGCGCCCGUUCCGCCGGCUCACCUCGGCCGAGCUACUCGAGCGUCGCCGCCAAGGGUUGUGCUUCAACUGCGACGAGCCCUACACGCCCGGCCACGCCUGCCCGCGACUCUUCUACCUGGAGGUUGCAAACUACAUUCCAGAGGACGCCGUCGCCGCCGACCUUGCCGCCCCAGCUGUUGCGAAGGUGUUUGACGCUGGUUGA
RNAcentral lists this ribosomal RNA (1215 nucleotides) under Triticum aestivum (bread wheat). RNAcentral describes it as "partial small subunit ribosomal RNA". The record is from RNAcentral. Lineage: Eukaryota; Viridiplantae; Streptophyta; Magnoliopsida; Poales; Poaceae.